UACGUAGGGGGCAAGCGUUAUCCGGAUUUACUGGGUGUAAAGGGAGCGUAGACGGUUGUGCAAGUCUGAAGUGAAAGCCCGGGGCUCAACCCCGGGACUGCUUUGGAAACUGUAUAACUGGAGUGCAGGAGAGGUAAGCGGAAUUCCUAGUGUAGCGGUGAAAUGCGUAGAUAUUAGGAGGAACACCAGUGGCGAAGGCGGCUUACUGGACUGUAACUGACGUUGAGGCUCGAAAGCGUGGGGAGCAAACAGG
Molecule: ribosomal RNA, 253 nt
Filed under: uncultured Lachnospiraceae bacterium
Lineage: Bacteria; Bacillati; Bacillota; Clostridia; Lachnospirales; Lachnospiraceae
Description: partial 16S ribosomal RNA
Rfam family: Bacterial small subunit ribosomal RNA
Source: RNAcentral